UACGUAGGUGGCAAGCGUUGUUCGGAAUUAUUGGGCGUAAAGCGCGCGCAGGCGGUCCUUUAAGUCUGAUGUGAAAGCCCACGGCUCAACCGUGGAGGGUCAUUGGAAACUGGGGGACUUGAGUACAGAAGAGGAGAGUGGAAUUCCACGUGUAGCGGUGAAAUGCGUAGAGAUGUGGAGGAACACCAGUGGCGAAGGCGACUCUUUGGGCUGUAACUGACGCUGAGGCGCGAAAGCGUGGGGAGCAAACAGG
This 253-nucleotide ribosomal RNA is filed under the name uncultured bacterium. RNAcentral describes it as "partial 16S ribosomal RNA". It matches the Rfam family "Bacterial small subunit ribosomal RNA", at positions 524 to 776 of the family's 1533-position model. The record is from RNAcentral.